This 67-nucleotide transfer RNA is filed under the name Eclipophleps carinata. Its description in RNAcentral is "tRNA-Gly". Lineage: Eukaryota; Metazoa; Arthropoda; Insecta; Orthoptera; Acrididae. The record is from RNAcentral.
AUUCUUCUAGUAUAUAUAGUACAUUUGACUUCCAAUCAAAAAGUUUGAUUAUCAAUCAAGAAAAAUA